CUUUCGGAAAUGAUCUCCCCAUGCAACAUCUCUCCGGCUGAAUAUUUUGCAUAUCUUUACCAACUGUUUUUUUCAGAAGACGGCUUUUCCUGUUCACCAAAAAGGCAAAGGAUGUGGGUACAGGUUAGAUUUGUUUAGUGAAGCCGGUAAGAGAGUGAUGUCAGGGCAAGUAAACUAAGGCAUGUUGUGGCUGGCCAACUUGGACCAUUGCUGGACCACUGACAGACUGAGCUGCCACGGCAUGCAGCACCACCCCUGGUGUGUCCUAUGCGAUCAGGAGCCGGAAACGAUGUACCACCUGCUAGUUGCGUGCCCCUUCUCUCGGCAAAUUUGGCACAAUGCCCUCUCUUGGCUCCGCCUGACCCGACCCAGGACGACAACCUAAAGGACUGGUGGCGGCAAGCCAAACAGGCCACGCCGCGGCCAAUGCAAAAAGGGCUUGCAUCGGCGGUCCACUUGCGGCGUGGAUGAUCUGGAAGCAGCGGAAUGCCUGCGUGUUCGACGCCGCACAACCAUCCUCAACCCAGCUCAUGGCGAGAAUCAAAGACGAGGCUACACUCUGGGUCCGGGCAGGCGCCACUGGCCUGGGACUGGGGCGUACACUAAUUUUCUUGCAUUUUGAUCCUGUAUCUCUCCUGCUCGGAGACCUGUACUGCUAAACUCUCCUUCUAUUCAAUGAAAUGAAACACAAAGUCUUUGCGUUUUCCCGAAAAAAAAAUCAUCAAAGAUUGAGGAUGACUGGAAAAUCUACAGUGCAGUUUAUUUUUUGCACGGAAGAAUGGGUAGUUGACUUGUAGUAGAUUACAGCAUGCAACCAAUAAUAGUGAAGCACUGAAACAUCAGUGCGAACUAGGAAGCUGUCUGGUGGGCUGGGGGCAGUUGUGUAAAAUCCAAUUUUCUUGACCCAAAUUAUUCAUGGUGACUGGGUCUAUGACUACGAGGGGCAGAACAAAUGGAAGCAAGAUCUCCUUUCUUUCCCUGUCAUGCUCUUUCAUGGUUAGACCACCAUUGGUGCUUUAUCCAGUCAGGGGACAACAUAAGCUCACCAGAAACCAUGCAGACACUCCAUUUUCCCAACAAGACAUACAAGAUAGGGCACAUACCUUCCCUUGGCCUUGCUCUUGUGCUGCUGAUAUGCUUGGCCUCUCCUACGAGUUCCUGCAUGCAGCAGGAGAAGGGCUCCCUUCUUCAGUUCCUCGGCGGGCUCUCACGUGAUGGUGGCCUCGCUGUGUCAUGGAAGAAUGGCUCAGAUUGCUGCCAGUGGGAAGGGAUCACCUGCAGCACAGAUGGGAUUGUUACGGAUGUCUUGCUGGCUUCUAGGAGUCUUCAGGGGCACAUCACACCUUCUCUUGGGAACAUCACUGGAUUGUUGCGCCUCAACCUGUCGAAUAAUCUGCUAUCAGGUGGUCUACCGCAGGAACUGGUAUCCUCCAGCAGCAUCCUCAUCUUAGAUGUCAGCUUUAACCGUCUCGGAGGAGAGCUGCACGAGUUGUCGUCUGCCCAUGCCCGGCCACUGAAGGUACUGAACAUCUCGAGCAAUUUGUUUACAGGACAGUUUCCGUCCUCCACAUGGCAGGGGAUGAAAAAUCUGGUUGCACUCAAUGCCAGCAACAACAGCUUUACUGGGCAGCUACCAACUCAUUUCUGUGCCAGCUCGCCAUCCUUGGCAGUGCUCGAACUCUGCUACAACCAAUUCAGAGGGAGCAUCCCCCCUGAACUUGGUAGCUGCUCCGUGCUCAGAGUGCUCAAGGCUGGCCACAACAACCUCAGCGGGACUCUCCCAGACGAACUCUUCAAUGCUAGCUUGUUAGAAUUCCUCUCCUUUCCUGGGAACAGAUUACAAGGAAGGCUUCAAGGCUCACUUAUAGCCAAACUCGAAAAUCUGGGUACUCUUAAUCUUGGAGACAACAUCAUCAGCGGCAAGAUUCCAGAGUCUAUAGGUCAUCUCAAGAGAUUGGAGGAACUCCAUUUAAACAACAACAACAUGUAUGGGGAGCUGCCACCAAGUCUGACCAACUGCACAAAUCUCAUGACCAUCGACUUCAAGAGCAACAAUUUCAGCGGAGAACUCGCCAAGGUCAAUUUCUCCAACCUACCCAAUCUACAAACUUUAGAUCUUAUGCACAACAUCUUCACUGGCAAAAUUCCGGAAAGCAUCUACUCAUGCAGAAAUCUAACUGCACUGCGGCUAUCUUCCAAUAUGUUCUAUGGCCAGCUGUCAGAAAAGAUAGGCAAUCUGAAGUCCCUCUCAUUCCUGUCAUUUACUAACAACAAUCUUACAAAUAUCAGAAGUGCACUUCAUAUCCUUAAGAGAUGCAGGAAUCUUACGACCCUGCUUAUUGCGCUCAACUUCAGGAGAGAAAUCAUGCCAGAGGAUGACAUGAUUGAUGGUUUUGAAAAUCUUCAGGUUUUUAGCGUCGGAGGAUGCGAAUUAUUUGGACAAAUGCCUCACUGGAUAUCAAGGCUAGCAAAUUUACAAAUAUUAAUCUUGUCUGGCAAUCAACUCACUGGAUCAAUACCAGCCUGGAUCAAAACCCUAAGCAACCUGUUUUUUCUGGACAUAUCAAACAACAGCCUCGCAGGGGAUAUUCCGACAGCCCUUAUGGAUAUGCCAAUGCUAAAGUCAGAUAAGAGUGAAGCCCAUUUAGCCCCAGGGGUAUUUGAGCUACCUGUUUAUGACAGUCUAUCACGUCAAUACCGUGUACCUAUUGCUUUGCGUAAUGUGCUGGAUCUAAGCCACAACAAAUUCACUGGUGAAAUCCCCCUUGAGGUAGGCCAGUUGAAAGCCCUCCUUUCACUCAAUUUAAGUUUCAAUCACUUGACAGGACAGAUCCCACAGUCAAUAUCCGAUCUCACAAACCUGCAGCUGUUAGACUUGUCGAGCAAUAAUCUAACAGGUGCAAUUCCGGAUACAUUGAGUAGACUGAACUUCCUUUCAAAAUUUAACAUUUCAAACAAUGGCCUUGAAGGGCCUAUUCCAUCUGGAGGCCAGUUCGAUACAUUUCAGAAUUCUAGUUUCGAUGGGAAUCCAAAGCUGUGUGGCCCUUUUCACACUCACAAAUGUGGUUUAUUUUUAAUACCUUCAUCCUCCAGAAAGAAACAAGAUACGAAGGCUGUUUUUGCAAUCGCAUUUGGCGUGUUCUUCGGAGGCAUUGCUAUUGUUUUGUUGCUGGGGCGUCUCCUUGUCUCGAUCAGGCAGAAGGAUAUUAUGGCAAAACAUAGAAGGGAGACUAAUGGAGAUAUUGAAGAGGCUUCAUUCUGCGCCAAGUCAGAGCAAACAUUAGUGGUGAUGUGGAUGCCAAAAGGAAACGGAGAAGAAAACAAGCUCAAAUUCGCUGACAUUUUGAAAGCCACGAACAACUUUGACAAGGCGAACAUCAUUGGAUGUGGAGGUUAUGGACUAGUCUACAAAGCGGAGCUGCCUGAUGGCUCCAAGCUGGCAAUAAAAAAGCUCAAUGGUGAUAUGUGUCUAAUGGAAAGGGAGUUCAGUGCAGAGGUUGAUGCACUCUCCAGGGCACAACAUGAAAACCUUGUACCACUGUGGGGUUACUGCCUCCAGGGAAACUCAAGGUUUCUUGUAUAUUCCUACAUGGAGAAUGGAAGCCUGGAUGAUUGGCUCCAUAACAGGGAUGAAGAUGCUAGCUCAUUUCUUGACUGGCCGACUCGACUCAAGAUCGCACAAGGAGCAAGCCUGGGACUUUCUUAUAUCCAUGAAAUCUGCAACCCUCAGAUUGUCCACCGAGACAUCAAAUCCAGUAACAUCCUACUGGACAAAGAAUUUAAAGCUUAUGUUGCAGAUUUUGGGCUAGCCAGAUUGAUUCUUCCCAACCAAACUCAUGUCACAACUGAUCUGGUCGGUACAAUGGGUUACAUUCCCCCCGAGUAUGGGCAAGCAUGGGUUGCUACAUUGAGAGGUGAUAUGUACAGUUUCGGAGUAGUACUGCUUGAGCUGCUCACUGGAAUGCGCCCUGUUUCAAUCCUAUCAACGUCAAAGGAACUUGUCCCAUGGGUGCUGGAGAUGAGGUCCGAGGGGAAGCAGGUUGAGGUCCUAGAUCCAACACUUGGAGGCACAGGACGUGAAGAUCAAAUGUUAAAGGUGCUUGAAGCUGCUUCCAAAUGUGUCGAACCCAAUCAGUUCAUGAGGCCAACCAUCAUGGAAGUAGUCUCCUGCCUGGCCAGUAUAGAUGCUGAUCCGCAGAUGCAAAGAUGAGCCAACAUACAAGCCACACAUGAUAGAUAAUCUUGCAGUUUUGUGCAUUACGUUAUUCUAGUUUCAGUAGAGCUACUACUUGUGAUAAUCAGUUUGUUUUGCACUUUUGCACGGAGCCUUAGAACAGGUUGCCAUCUUGGGCUUUGCGUGCUUUUUCAGGAAAUGUUUUGGUAUUCAUGUUGCUUCAGAUAUUUUCUGUGAGGACCUACAGAUGUUUCUGUAUGUAUUAUAUUAAUAUAUGCUUUAAGUUUCACAAGCAUGAGGCAAAGUAUAAUCAUGUGGAAUGACUGUCUUGUUUUGUCAGUGAAAGAUUGGAAAAUAGUUUUCAUUAAUUGGGUAGAUAUUAUGUACUUACUAUAUUGGGCUACAACAAAUGUUUGGUUGGUCCAAUCGUCAAACAAAUGGAAUGAGAAACUGAGAAUGUAACAAUACGACUACCAUCUUUGAAAUACAAACAACUUAGUAGGCAGUCACUAGCAGAACAGGAGAGUAAUGGCGAUAAGAAGCACCUACCAUGUAGGAGGAUGCAGGCGGCCUUGCAACGUAAUGUAGCUCGCUCCUCCGGCAUAUACAUAUAUGCAUCAAAACUAGGAUCCCACCCGGACUCUGGAAGGCAACCGUCGCGGACUCGAGG
RNAcentral lists this long non-coding RNA (4844 nucleotides) under Hordeum vulgare. Its description in RNAcentral is "long non-coding RNA (HVUL_LNC015012)". Lineage: Eukaryota; Viridiplantae; Streptophyta; Magnoliopsida; Poales; Poaceae. The record is from RNAcentral.